CACGUAGUUAGCCGUGGCUUUCUGAUUAGGUACCGUCAAGACGUGCACAGUUACUUACACAUUUGUUCUUCCCUAAUAACAGAGUUUUACGAUCCGAAGACCUUCAUCACUCACGCGGCGUUGCUCCGUCAGGCUUUCGCCCAUUGCGGAAGAUUCCCUACUGCUGCCUCCCGUAGGAGUCUGGACCGUGCCUCAGUUCCAGUGUGGCCGAUCACCCUCUCAGGUCGGCUACGUAUCGUUGCCUUGGUAAGCCAUUACCCCACCAACUAGCUAAUACGGCGCGGGUCCAUCUAUAAGUGAUAGUAAAACCAUCUUUCACUUUAGAACCAUGCGGUUCUAAAUAUUAUCCGGCAUUAGCCCCGGUUUCCCGGAGUUAUUCCAGUCUUAUAGGUAGGUUACCCACGUGUUACUCACCCGUCCGCCGCUAACGUCAAAGGAGCAAGCUCCUUAUCUGUUCGCUCGACUUGCAUGUAUUAGGCACGCCGCCAGCGUUCAUCCUGAGCCAGGAUCAAACUCU
This 517-nucleotide ribosomal RNA is filed under the name uncultured Staphylococcus sp. Its description in RNAcentral is "partial 16S ribosomal RNA". The record is from RNAcentral. Lineage: Bacteria; Bacillati; Bacillota; Bacilli; Caryophanales; Staphylococcaceae.